CUGAUGAGCAACAGCUUCCCCUUCUUUCUUUGUAGGAGGAACAUCUCGUUCUCAACAGUAGUAAACUGUUCAAACUGCUGAGGCUCAUGAACAACACACUGAAGAUGAGGAGCGUCUUUGUCUUCAUAUUCCUACUGGAUGUUUCUCCUCUGAAAGGGCAGCAGCAGAGAAUAGAGGAGUCUGAGAACAUUCUGCUGAGGUUUUACUUUCCUUCGUUCUACAACAGCUACAUGAAGUUUUGCUGUAAACUGUAUCCAGGUGGAUGUUACAAGCUGCUGGACAAUGAGGGCUACACAUGUGAUCAGCUCAAAGGGAGAGUGACAAGAACUGAGCAGGACGGCUGUGUGGAAUUCAAAAUAUGGAACGUAAGAUCCUCAGAUGGUGGCUUUUACAGAUGUCUCGUACUGGGACCUCAAAACCCUAUCUUCCACGAUUACUAUGUCGAGGUAUUUGAAUCGUCACAUGACCACAGGAAGUCUCAGCCGUUUCUGACAUCAACCACAACGUUCCCAGUCUCUACGAGGCCCGUUCAGGCUCAGG
Molecule: long non-coding RNA, 540 nt
Filed under: Gouania willdenowi (blunt-snouted clingfish)
Lineage: Eukaryota; Metazoa; Chordata; Actinopteri; Blenniiformes; Gobiesocidae
Description: lncRNA (ENSGWIG00000024549.1)
Source: RNAcentral